GCAAGUCGAGCGAAUGGAUUGAGAGCUUGCUCUCAAGAAGUUAGCCCUUUACGGGUGAGUAACACGUGGGUAACCUGCCCAUAAGACCCGGAUAACUCCGGGAAACCGGGGCUAAUACCGGAUAACAUUUUGAACCGCAUGGUUCGAAAUUGAAAGGCGGCUUCGGCUGUCACUUAUGGAUGGACCCGCGUCGCAUUAGCUAGUUGGUGAGGUAACGGCUCACCAAGGCAACGAUGCGUAGCCGACCUGAGAGGGUGAUCGGCCACACUGGGACUGAGACACGGCCCAGACUCCUACGGGAGGCAGCAGUAGGGAAUCUUCCGCAAUGGACGAAAGUCUGACGGAGCAACGCCGCGUGAGUGAUGAAGGCUUUCGGGUCGUAAAACUCUGUUGUUAGGGAAGAACAAGUGCUAGUUGAAUAAGCUGGCACCUUGACGGUACCUAACCAGAAAGCCACGGCUAACUACGUGCCAGCAGCCGCGGUAAUACGUAGGUGGCAAGCGUUAUCCGGAAUUAUUGGGCGUAAAGCGCGCGCAGGUGGUUUCUUAAGUCUGAUGUGAAAGCCCACGGCUCAACCGUGGAGGGUCAUUGGAAACUGGGAGACUUGAGUGCAGAAGAGGAAAGUGGAAUUCCAUGUGUAGCGGUGAAAUGCGUAGAGAUAUGGAGGAACACCAGUGGCGAAGGCGACUUUCUGGUCUGUAACUGACACUG
This 711-nucleotide ribosomal RNA is filed under the name Bacillus thuringiensis. RNAcentral's name for it is "bacterial SSU rRNA". It matches the Rfam family "Bacterial small subunit ribosomal RNA", at positions 57 to 748 of the family's 1533-position model. The record is from RNAcentral. Lineage: Bacteria; Bacillati; Bacillota; Bacilli; Caryophanales; Bacillaceae.